This 77-nucleotide transfer RNA is filed under the name Holosporaceae bacterium. Its description in RNAcentral is "tRNA-Trp". It matches the Rfam family "tRNA". Rfam says of the family: Transfer RNA (tRNA) molecules are approximately 80 nucleotides in length. Their secondary structure includes four short double-helical elements and three loops (D, anti-codon, and T loops). Further hydrogen bonds mediate the characteristic L-shaped molecular structure. tRNAs have two regions of fundamental functional importance: the anti-codon, which is responsible for specific mRNA codon recognition, and the 3' end, to which the tRNAs corresponding amino acid is attached (by aminoacyl-tRNA synthetases). tRNAs cope with the degeneracy of the genetic code in two manners: having more than one tRNA (with a specific anti-codon) for a particular amino acid; and 'wobble' base-pairing, i.e. permitting non-standard base-pairing at the 3rd anti-codon position. Lineage: Bacteria; Pseudomonadati; Pseudomonadota; Alphaproteobacteria; Holosporales; Holosporaceae. The record is from RNAcentral.
AGGGGCGUAGCUCAGUUGGCUAGAGCGGCGGUCUCCAAAACCGCAGGUCGGGAGUUCGAGCCUCUCCGCCCCUGCCA